GAACUGCGAUAAGUAAUGUGAAUUGCAGAAUUCAGUGAAUCAUCGAGUCUUUGAACGCACAUUGCGCCCCCUGGCAUUCCGGGGGGCAUGCCUGUCCGAGCGUCAUUGCUGCCCUCAAGCCCGGCUUGUGUGUUGGGUCGUCGUCCCCCCCGGGGGCCGGGCCCGAAAGGCAGCGGCGGCACCGUGUCCGGUCCUCGAGCGUAUGGGGCUUUGUCACCCGCUCGAUUAGGGCCGGCCGGGCGCCAGCCGGCGUCUCCAACCUUAUUUUUCUCAGGUUGACCUCGGAUCAGGUAGGGAUACCCGCUGAACUUAAGC
RNAcentral lists this unclassified non-coding RNA (315 nucleotides) under plant metagenome. RNAcentral describes it as "partial contains 5.8S ribosomal RNA, internal transcribed spacer 2, and large subunit ribosomal RNA". The stretch from base 1 to 105 matches the Rfam family "5.8S ribosomal RNA", at positions 50 to 154 of the family's 154-position model. The record is from RNAcentral.